RNAcentral lists this ribosomal RNA (909 nucleotides) under Phlegmacium variosimile. RNAcentral describes it as "Cortinarius variosimilis partial large subunit ribosomal RNA". It matches the Rfam family "Eukaryotic large subunit ribosomal RNA", at positions 71 to 964 of the family's 3401-position model. Lineage: Eukaryota; Fungi; Basidiomycota; Agaricomycetes; Agaricales; Cortinariaceae. The record is from RNAcentral.
AGGAUUCCCCUAGUAACUGCGAGUGAAGCGGGAAAAGCUCAAAUUUAAAAUCUGUCAGUCUUUGGCUGUCCGAGUUGUAAUCUAGAGAAGUGUUAUCCGCGCUGGACCGUGUACAAGUCUCCUGGAAUGGAGCGUCAUAGAGGGUGAGAAUCCCGUCUUUGACACGGACUGCCAGGGCUUUGUGAUAUGCUCUCAAAGAGUCGAGUUGUUUGGGAAUGCAGCUCAAAAUGGGUGGUAAAUUCCAUCUAAAGCUAAAUAUUGGCGAGAGACCGAUAGCGAACAAGUACCGUGAGGGAAAGAUGAAAAGAACUUUGGAAAGAGAGUUAAACAGUACGUGAAAUUGCUGAAAGGGAAACGCUUGAAGUCAGUCGCGUUGUCCAGGGAUCAGCCUUGCUUUUGCUUGGUGUACUUUCUGGUUGACGGGUCAGCAUCAAUUUUGACUGUUGGAAAAAGGUCAGGGGAAUGUGGCAUCUUCGGAUGUGUUAUAGCCCUUGGUUGCAUACAAUGGUUGGGAUUGAGGAACUCAGCACGCCGCAAGGCCGGGUAACUAUUACCACGUACGUGCUUAGGAUGCUGGCAUAAUGGCUUUAAUCGACCCGUCUUGAAACACGGACCAAGGAGUCUAACAUGCCUGCGAGUGUUUGGGUGGAAAACUCGAGCGCGUAAUGAAAGUGAAAGUUGAGAUCCCUGUCGUGGGGAGCAUCGACGCCCGGACCAGACCUUUUGUGACGGUUCCGCGGUAGAGCAUGUAUGUUGGGACCCGAAAGAUGGUGAACUAUGCCUGAAUAGGGUGAAGCCAGAGGAAACUCUGGUGGAGGCUCGUAGCGAUUCUGACGUGCAAAUCGAUCGUCAAAUUUGGGUAUAGGGGCGAAAGACUAAUCGAACCAUCUAGUAGCUGGUUCCUGGCGA